CGGACGGGUGAGUAACGCGUGAGAAUCUGGCUUCAGGUCUGGGACAACCACUGGAAACGGUGGCUAAUACCGGAUGUGCCGAAAGGUGAAAGGUUAACUGCCUGAAGAUGAGCUCGCGUCUGAUUAGCUAGUUGGUAGAGUAAAAGCCUACCAAGGCGACGAUCAGUAGCUGGUCUGAGAGGACGAUCAGCCACACUGGGACUGAGACACGGCCCAGACUCCUACGGGAGGCAGCAGUGGGGAAUUUUCCGCAAUGGGCGAAAGCCUGACGGAGCAAUACCGCGUGAGGGAGGAAGGCUCUUGGGUCGUAAACCUCUUUUCUCAGGGAAGAACACAAUGACGGUACCUGAGGAAUAAGCAUCGGCUAACUCCGUGCCAGCAGCCGCGGUAAUACGGAGGAUGCAAGCGUUAUCCGGAAUGAUUGGGCGUAAAGCGUCCGCAGGUGGCGAUGUAAGUCUGCUGUUAAAGCGUCUAGCUCAACUAGAUAAAAGCAGUGGAAACUACUUACGCUAGAGUGCGUUCGGGGCAGAGGGAAUUCCUGGUGUAGCGGUGAAAUGCGUAGAGAUCAGGAAGAACACCAGUGGCGAAGGCGCUCUGCUAGGCCGUAACUGACACUGAGGGACGAAAGCUAGGGGAGCGAAUGGGAUUAGAUACCCCAGUAGUC
This 664-nucleotide ribosomal RNA is filed under the name uncultured cyanobacterium. RNAcentral describes it as "bacterial SSU rRNA". It matches the Rfam family "Bacterial small subunit ribosomal RNA", at positions 99 to 795 of the family's 1533-position model. The record is from RNAcentral. Lineage: Bacteria; Bacillati; Cyanobacteriota.